GAGGGUGGCAGAGCCCAGCCACCAGGGUCUGCUCCAUGCCUGGUCCCUGGAGAGGCCCUCACCCUCUCUGCUUUCACCCAACCCGACUGACACGGAGUAGGAGGUGGGAAUCAUGCAGGCAGGGAGCUUAGGAAGCCUGGUUCAAGAUUGCUUUGAAUGGCAGGCCCCCUGCUGUGCUCCUGGGGAGAGAGCCUGAAACCUGGAUGCUCGGGAGCCCCUCAGAUCCGUCAUCUGUCCCCGACACCCCUGUGGUGAGCCUUGCCACUGGGCCCUGAGAAGCUCAGAGCAGUCGAGUCAGGGCAGUGGGACAUGACCCAGGUCAGAUGUGGCUUUUCCGUAAUUGUACACCAAUGAUCAAGAGAAAAUGAAGGAUUUUAAUAUCCAGGAAGAUCCUCCGCCUCAGUGCCAGGCCACUGCCCACCACAUGGGAGCAGGAACCAGGGCAUGGGCAGGCAGAAGAGCAGGCGGAGUGGCUGAGCUCCUGUCCCGGCUCCCUAAGGUGUUCCCAGUUUGCGGAGGAUUACGUGCCCUCUCAGCCCAGUAGCACACUUUCCAAAUAAGCCAUCAGACUCCUCCCAAGAUCCUGAAACUGAGGCUCAGAGAGCAGAAGCAGCUUGGCCAAAGUCAUACAACUGGUAGUUGGUAAAGGAGCUGGCCUUGAACUCAGGGAUAUCUUGAAAGCCACUGUUGCUUCUAUGGACUCUAGCCAUUCAAAAGACCCCUCACCUUCUAUAAGACCCCAGGAGAUCCUCAGGGUCCAACUGCUCCCUUGAAAACAGGUCCCAGAUAUAUCUGCCAAAGGUAUGAUUAGGUGCCUAAACACAUACCAUGAGAAAGGGAUUCCAUGUCUUCCAAUCCUGCCCAGAGAUGCAGAGACACCACCACCCAGGGAGAGAUAGCCAGAAACUAAAAUAAGAUGUUAGAGACAGGUGGUUGAUAGUGACAGAUACAGCCACACCAAGACAGGCUCAAAGGGAGGAAGACUGAGGGGAAGCCAGAGACAGAGAGGGACACAUUAGGCCAAAGAAUGAGAGAGAUAGCUGGAAAAGGAGACAAUAGGAGUAGAGGAGGGUACAGGCUGACAUGAAAAAACACCGACAGAUACACUCCAGUAUGCAGACAGACACAUAUAGACCCAUCUGACCUUCACAAGAAACAGACUGUGAAAGCAAGCAAGGCUCAGGCUGUGUGUGGUGUGCGUAUGUGUGUGUGCGUAUUGUGGGGGGAGCAUGCAGAGUCUGUAUAGCUACGCACAUUACACCAGCUGCUUCCAGCAAUUUCAUCUGAUUAAUAAUAAAUGCCCCAUAAUUACAGCCGC
Molecule: long non-coding RNA, 1318 nt
Filed under: Homo sapiens (human)
Lineage: Eukaryota; Metazoa; Chordata; Mammalia; Primates; Hominidae
Description: non-protein coding CNTFR-AS1:4
Source: RNAcentral